UCCGUAGGCGGGCAACUAAGUCAGAGGUGAAAUCCCACAGCUUAACUGUGGAACUGCCUUUGAUACUGGUUGUCUUGAGUUAUAGUGAAGUAGAUAGAAUAUGUAGUGUAGCGGUGAAAUGCUUAGAUAUUACAUAGAAUACCGAUUGCGAAGGCAGUCUACUAACUAUAUACUGACGCUAAUGGACGAAAGCGUGGGGAGCGAACAGGAUUAGAUACCCUGGUAGUCC
Molecule: ribosomal RNA, 229 nt
Filed under: uncultured bacterium
Lineage: Bacteria
Description: partial 16S ribosomal RNA
Rfam family: Bacterial small subunit ribosomal RNA
Source: RNAcentral